This 24-nucleotide non-coding RNA is filed under the name Cricetulus griseus (Chinese hamster). Lineage: Eukaryota; Metazoa; Chordata; Mammalia; Rodentia; Cricetidae. The record is from RNAcentral.
AGUUAUUGUUGGAAAGUUGAAUUC